RNAcentral lists this ribosomal RNA (465 nucleotides) under uncultured bacterium. RNAcentral's name for it is "partial 16S ribosomal RNA". It matches the Rfam family "Bacterial small subunit ribosomal RNA", at positions 28 to 507 of the family's 1533-position model. The record is from RNAcentral.
GACGAACGCUGGCGGCGUGCUUAACACAUGCAAGUCGAACGGAAAGGCCCUGCUUGCAGGGUACUCGAGUGGCGAACGGGUGAGUAACACGUGGGUGAUCUGCCCUGCACUUCGGGAUAAGCCUGGGAAACUGGGUCUAAUACCGGAUAGGAGCCAUUUUUAGUGUGAUGGUUGGAAAGUUUUUUCGGUGUAGGAUGAGCUCGCGGCCUAUCAGCUUGUUGGUGGGGUAAUGGCCUACCAAGGCGGCGACGGGUAGCCGGCCUGAGAGGGUGGACGGCCACAUUGGGACUGAGAUACGGCCCAGACUCCUACGGGAGGCAGCAGCGGGGAAUAUUGCACAAUGGGCGCAAGCCUGAUGCAGCGACGCCGCGUGGGGGAUGACGGCCUUCGGGUUGUAAACUCCUUUCGCUAGGGACGAAGCUUUUUGUGACGGUACCUAGAGAAGAAGCACCGGCUAACUACGUG